AUUCCCACAGUGCUGACUGAAUUUCCCCGACGGACGAACUCCCACUGCACCACCCGAGCUCCUUCAACAUGAGUUCCCCCAGUCAUCUAUUAAGCUGCCCCAAGUGCUCACUGAGCUCCGCCGCCAGCCGACUUUCUACGACUAUCAGCUGUUCCCCGAAUCUCUUCCAGACUUCUUCCAGCCAGGUUCAACUCCAAUCCGAACU
This 205-nucleotide long non-coding RNA is filed under the name Elaeis guineensis (African oil palm). Its description in RNAcentral is "long non-coding RNA (EGUI_LNC030397)". The record is from RNAcentral. Lineage: Eukaryota; Viridiplantae; Streptophyta; Magnoliopsida; Arecales; Arecaceae.